AGCCCGCUCGCCGGAAGACCAAGGGUUCCUGUCCAACGUUAAUCGGGGCAGGGUGAGUCGACCCCUAAGGCGAGGCCGAAAGGCGUAGUCGAUGGGAAACAGGUUAAUAUUCCUGUACUUGGUGUUACUGCGAAGAGGGGACGGAGAAGGCUAUGUUGGCCGGGCGACGGUUGUCCCGGUUUAAGCGUGUAGGCUGAUUUUCCAGGCAAAUCCGGAAAAUCAAGGCUGAGGCGUGAUGACGAGGCACUACGGUGCUGAAGCAACAAAUGCCCUGCUUCCAGGAAAAGCCUCUAAGCAUCAGGUAACAUCAAAUCGUACCCCAAACCGACACAGGUGGUCAGGUAGAGAAUACCAAGGCGCUUGAGAGAACUCGGGUGAAGGAACUAGGCAAAAUGGUGCCGUAACUUCGGGAGAAGGCACGCUGAUAUGUAGGUGAAGCGACUUGCUCGUGGAGCUGAAAUCAGUCGAAGAUACCAGCUGGCUGCAACUGUUUAUUAAAAACACAGCACUGUGCAAACACGAAAGUGGACGUAUACGGUGUGACGCCUGCCCGGUGCCGGAAGGUUAAUUGAUGGGGUUAGCGGCAACGCGAAGCUCUUGAUCGAAGCCCCGGUAAACGGCGGCCGUAACUAUAACGGUCCUAAGGUAGCGAAAUUCCUUGUCGGGUAAGUUCCGACCUGCACGAAUGGCGUAAUGAUGGCCAGGCUGUCUCCACCCGAGACUCAGUGAAAUUGAACUCGCUGUGAAGAUGCAGUGUACCCGCGGCAAGACGGAAAGACCCCGUGAACCUUUACUAUAGCUUGACACUGAACAUUGAGCCUUGAUGUGUAGGAUAGGUGGGAGGCUUUGAAGUGUGGACGCCAGUCUGCAUGGAGCCGACCUUGAAAUACCACCCUUUAAUGUUUGAUGUUCUAACGUUGGCCCGUAAUCCGGGUUGCGGACAGUGUCUGGUGGGUAGUUUGACUGGGGCGGUCUCCUCCUAAAGAGUAACGGAGGAGCACGAAGGUUGGCUAAUCCUGGUCGGACAUCAGGAGGUUAGUGCAAUGGCAUAAGCCAGCUUGACUGCGAGCGUGACGGCGCGAGCAGGUGCGAAAGCAGGUCAUAGUGAUCCGGUGGUUCUGAAUGGAAGGGCCAUCGCUCAACGGAUAAAAGGUACUCCGGGGAUAACAGGCUGAUACCGCCCAAGAGUUCAUAUCGACGGCGGUGUUUGGCACCUCGAUGUCGGCUCAUCACAUCCUGGGGCUGAAGUAGGUCCCAAGGGUAUGGCUGUUCGCCAUUUAAAGUGGUACGCGAGCUGGGUUUAGAACGUCGUGAGACAGUUCGGUCCCUAUCUGCCGUGGGCGCUGGAGAACUGAGGGGGGCUGCUCCUAGUACGAGAGGACCGGAGUGGACGCAUCACUGGUGUUCGGGUUGUCAUGCCAAUGGCACUGCCCGGUAGCUAAAUGCGGAAGAGAUAAGUGCUGAAAGCAUCUAAGCACGAAACUUGCCCCGAGAUGAGUUCUCCCUGACUCCUUGAGAGUCCUGAAGGAACGUUGAAGACGACGACGUUGAUAGGCCGGGUGUGUAAGCGCAGCGAUGCGUUGAGCUAACCGGUACUAAUGAACCGUGAGGCUUAACCUU
This 1620-nucleotide ribosomal RNA is filed under the name Escherichia coli. Its description in RNAcentral is "bacterial LSU rRNA". It matches the Rfam family "Bacterial large subunit ribosomal RNA", at positions 1327 to 2925 of the family's 2925-position model. Lineage: Bacteria; Pseudomonadati; Pseudomonadota; Gammaproteobacteria; Enterobacterales; Enterobacteriaceae. The record is from RNAcentral.